This 1110-nucleotide ribosomal RNA is filed under the name Bacillus sp. (in: firmicutes). RNAcentral describes it as "bacterial SSU rRNA". It matches the Rfam family "Bacterial small subunit ribosomal RNA", at positions 78 to 1174 of the family's 1533-position model. Lineage: Bacteria; Bacillati; Bacillota; Bacilli; Caryophanales; Bacillaceae. The record is from RNAcentral.
GCUUGCUCCCGGAUGUUAGCGGCGGACGGGUGAGUAACACGUGGGUAACCUGCCUGUAAGACUGGGAUAACUCCGGGAAACCGGAGCUAAUACCGGAUAGUUCCUUGAACCGCAUGGUUCAAGGAUGAAAGACGGUUUCGGCUGUCACUUACAGAUGGACCCGCGGCGCAUUAGCUAGUUGGUGAGGUAACGGCUCACCAAGGCGACGAUGCGUAGCCGACCUGAGAGGGUGAUCGGCCACACUGGGACUGAGACACGGCCCAGACUCCUACGGGAGGCAGCAGUAGGGAAUCUUCCGCAAUGGACGAAAGUCUGACGGAGCAACGCCGCGUGAGUGAUGAAGGUUUUCGGAUCGUAAAGCUCUGUUGUUAGGGAAGAACAAGUGCAAGAGUAACUGCUUGCACCUUGACGGUACCUAACCAGAAAGCCACGGCUAACUACGUGCCAGCAGCCGCGGUAAUACGUAGGUGGCAAGCGUUGUCCGGAAUUAUUGGGCGUAAAGGGCUCGCAGGCGGUUUCUUAAGUCUGAUGUGAAAGCCCCCGGCUCAACCGGGGAGGGUCAUUGGAAACUGGGAAACUUGAGUGCAGAAGAGGAGAGUGGAAUUCCACGUGUAGCGGUGAAAUGCGUAGAGAUGUGGAGGAACACCAGUGGCGAAGGCGACUCUCUGGUCUGUAACUGACGCUGAGGAGCGAAAGCGUGGGGAGCGAACAGGAUUAGAUACCCUGGUAGUCCACGCCGUAAACGAUGAGUGCUAAGUGUUAGGGGGUUUCCGCCCCUUAGUGCUGCAGCUAACGCAUUAAGCACUCCGCCUGGGGAGUACGGUCGCAAGACUGAAACUCAAAGGAAUUGACGGGGGCCCGCACAAGCGGUGGAGCAUGUGGUUUAAUUCGAAGCAACGCGAAGAACCUUACCAGGUCUUGACAUCCUCUGACAACCCUAGAGAUAGGGCUUUCCCUUCGGGGACAGAGUGACAGGUGGUGCAUGGUUGUCGUCAGCUCGUGUCGUGAGAUGUUGGGUUAAGUCCCGCAACGAGCGCAACCCUUGAUCUUAGUUGCCAGCAUUCAGUUGGGCACUCUAAGGUGACUGCCGGUGACAAACCGGAGGAAGGU